RNAcentral lists this ribosomal RNA (336 nucleotides) under uncultured Elusimicrobia bacterium. Its description in RNAcentral is "bacterial SSU rRNA". It matches the Rfam family "Bacterial small subunit ribosomal RNA", at positions 29 to 351 of the family's 1533-position model. Lineage: Bacteria; Pseudomonadati; Elusimicrobiota; Elusimicrobia. The record is from RNAcentral.
AGUGAACGCUGGCGGCGUGCCUAACACAUGCAAGUCGAGCGAAGCGGCAGCUGUAGCAAUACAGUAUGUGCUUAGCGGCAGACGGGUGAUUAACACGUAGGCAACCUUCCUCUUAGUGGGGGAUAGCCCGCCGAAAGGCGGGGUAAUACCGCGUACGAUUCGUCGAAGGCAUCUUUGACGAAUGAAACAUCCGCAAGGAUGACUGAGAGACGGGCCUGCGGCCUAUCAGCUAGUUGGUGAGGUAACGGCUCACCAAGGCUGCGACGGGUAGCCGACCUGAAAGGGCGAUCGGCCACACUGACACUGAGACACGGGUCAGACUCCUACGGGAGGCUG